This 373-nucleotide ribosomal RNA is filed under the name uncultured organism. RNAcentral's name for it is "bacterial SSU rRNA". It matches the Rfam family "Bacterial small subunit ribosomal RNA", at positions 526 to 896 of the family's 1533-position model. The record is from RNAcentral.
CGGGGGGAGCAAGCGUUGUUCGGAUUUACUGGGCGUAAAGGGCGCGUAGGCGGCGCAACAAGUCAGCUGUGAAAUCUCCGGGCUUAACCCGGAGCGGCCAGCUGAUACUGUCGUGCUAGAGUGCGGAAGGGGCUACUGGAAUUCUCGGUGUAGCGGUGAAAUGCGUAGAUAUCGAGAGGAACACCUGUGGCGAAGGCGGGUAGCUGGGCCGACACUGACGCUGAGGCGCGAAAGCUAGGGGAGCGAACGGGAUUAGAUACCCCGGUAGUCCUAGCCUUAAACGAUGGAUGCUUGGUGUCCGGGGUUUCAUAGUCCCCGGGUGCCGUCGCUAACGCCUUAAGCAUCCCGCCUGGGGAGUACGGUCGCAAGACUG